Molecule: non-coding RNA, 431 nt
Organism: Octodon degus (degu)
Lineage: Eukaryota; Metazoa; Chordata; Mammalia; Rodentia; Octodontidae
Source: the annotation of a RefSeq genome assembly
UGCCCAGCGGUUUCCACUUACUGAUCAGGACUGGGCACAAACAGAUCACGAUGGAGCCGGCAAUGAACUGGGUUUUCCUGUUUGCGAUUUUGAAAGGUGUCCAGGCUGAGGUGCUGCUGGUGGAGUCCGGAGGAGGCUUGGUGCAGCCUGAGGGAUCCAUGAGACUGUCCUGUGUGGCCUCAGGUUUUACCUUCCAUAACUAUGGCAUGCACUGGAUCCGGCAGACUCCUGAGAAGGGCCUGGAGUGGAUCUCAGCUAUUGGUAAUGGUGGUAACACAUACUACGCAGACUCCGUAAAGGGUCGAUUCAUCAUUUCCAGAGACAACGGCAAAAAACUGGUGAAUCUGCAAAUGAGCAGCCUGAGAACCGAGGACACAGCCCUGUAUUACUGUUCAAGAGACACAGUGAGGAGACAGACUUGGGCUCCCUGA